GCCCCCGUAGUUCAACGGACAGAAUAGAGGACUUCUAAUCCUUUGAUCGAGGUUCGAUUCCUCGCGGGGGUA
This is a non-coding RNA of Candidatus Brennerbacteria bacterium, 72 nucleotides long. NCBI's taxonomy places the organism in Bacteria, Candidatus Brenneribacteriota. The record is from Rfam.